GCAGUGAUGACUUCACUAGCACUGAUCAUCAGAGCUGAAGUUACCUUUCCUCUAAGAAGUCCUGAGCUU
Small nucleolar RNA from Chiloscyllium plagiosum (whitespotted bambooshark), 69 nucleotides. RefSeq annotates it as small nucleolar RNA SNORD61. The record is from RefSeq and is a predicted model, not a curated record. NCBI's taxonomy places the organism in Eukaryota, Metazoa, Chordata, Chondrichthyes, Orectolobiformes, Hemiscylliidae.